GACGUAGGGGGCCAGCGUUGCUCGGAAUUACUGGGCGUAAAGCGCGUGUAGGCUGCUUCGCAAGUCGGGUGUGAAAGCCCUGGGCUCAACCUAGGAAGUGCACUCGAAACUGCGAAGCUUGAGUCCUGGAGAGGAAGGCGGAAUUCUCGGUGUAGAGGUGAAAUGCGUAGAGAUCGGGAGGAACACCAGUGGCGAAGGCGGCUACCUGGACCAGCAUUGACACUCAAGCACGAAAGCGUGGGGAGCAAACAGG
RNAcentral lists this ribosomal RNA (253 nucleotides) under uncultured bacterium. RNAcentral's name for it is "partial 16S ribosomal RNA". It matches the Rfam family "Bacterial small subunit ribosomal RNA", at positions 524 to 776 of the family's 1533-position model. The record is from RNAcentral.